Molecule: long non-coding RNA, 3999 nt
Filed under: Mytilus galloprovincialis (Mediterranean mussel)
Lineage: Eukaryota; Metazoa; Mollusca; Bivalvia; Mytilida; Mytilidae
Source: RNAcentral
AUUUAAUUUGACAUUUAAAAACAAAACAGUGUUUAAAUACUGUAAAAAUUUAAUACCAAACUCGUGCUGGAUCCCUUCCAUGUUUAUGUCAAUAAUCAAAAUAGGUAGAAAUUUGAUUGUUUUAUAUUAAGUAUGCUCUCUCACAAAACUUUAAAGAGAGUGUUUUUGUUUGAAAGUAUUUUAUUUGAAUCUGAUUGAACUUGAAGUACAGAUCCUGCAUCUGCAUUAAUACUAUAUUAGUCAGAUUGAUCUUAUUCAGUAAAUUAACCUUGUUUUAGUUUGUAUGUUUUACCUUAAUUGUCAUUGUCAUUUCUUCUUUGGACUAUCCUGGUGGUGUCCUGUAGUUUCCUAACUUUUUUGUUGUUAUAGUACUAAUAAGUUGUCUAAGAAGGCACCACCAUUUAAUAAAUAUAUAAUACAGAUUUGAUUACUCAUGCACUAUUUGCAUCUUUUAAAGAACAGUUUUAUUUGUUAUCUGUGGGCAUAAAAGAAACUGAGGUCUCAAUCUGACUUUUCCAUUAUAAUGCAUUUGUAAUGCAGGGUAUUAUUUAGCUUGGUUGUUUUUAGACAUUCCAUUAUUAAGUACAGCCUUUGAAUCCAUGAAUUUUACUGUUAUUAUGUGUUUUUACUGUAUUCAUUGCAUUGCUUGAUUGCAUUGGUGUUGCUUUUGUAAAUUGCAUCUUUAUUCACAUGUAGAAGCUUAUAGAUUAAUAGAUGCUUGACAAAAAAAUGUUAAAAAAAACAAAACUCAACUUGAAUCAGUAUGUAUCUUCCUAUAACAUAUUUUUAUACGACCAAAAAUUAAAUAAGUUUGGUAUCAUGUUGUUGUCAUCAGAGUCGUCCAAAGAGAGAAUGUUUCCGGAUAAUUACUUUAUUAUAAGUAAAUAGAAAUCAAUAAAAUUUUAACACUAAAGGAAGGUUGGGAUUGAUUUUGGGGGUUAUGGUCCAAACUGUUUAGGAAUAAGCAUUUUUGUAGUUUCCAGACAAUAACUUGUGUUAAGUGUAUGAAUCUCUCUGAAAUUAUACCACAAGUUUCCAUACUACAAAGGGAUGGUUAGGAUUGACUUCGGGCAGUUAUGGCUCAAACCAUUUAGAAAUUAGGGGCAAAAAAAGGGGAAAAACAAGGGUUUUUCUGGUUAAAGGACAAUUGUGGCAAUUAAAGAGAAGGGAAAGGGAGGUAAUCCAAAUUUAUUAGAACAAUGUUUGAUUACCUCCCUUACACUGCUAGUAAAUUAUGUAUUAAGAAUUAUGUAUUAAGAAAUGAUGAUUGUCUUGAGGUGAUUAUAUUUUAGCUGACAAUUUAUUUUUAGCAGUUACUAUUAAAUAAUAUUAAUUUCAGCCAUGACUAUGUAUGUCAUUUUAUAUUUUAAAACUUUUAUGAUGUAUUCAAAUGGGUAAUUAUGGUUGCAAACUCAAUUAGAAAUUUGAAUUGAGAUACUGACCAUAUCUUGAGGGACAGAAUUUUUUUUGGACUAAGGGAAAGAGGAGGACAAUUUUUCUCAUUUCAGAUUCAGAAAUUAAAAGAAAAUUUCUUCAACUCAACUUUUUAUUUUUUUUUGGAGGGAGGGGGUUAACAUUCAAAGGCAAAGUGUAUUAUUUAAAACAGGGGUAACUUUUUUUGUAUUGGGGGGGGGGGGGGGGUAUAUUCGCAACAGCAUAGUGUAUUGCACAAAAGCAAAAAAAUGAAUAUAAAUUCAAAUCAAAUAACUAAUUUGAAGUUCUUUGACUACAGUUAUUCUGUGUCAGAACCUAUUAUGUGUCAAAAAUUUAAUUAAUAUCCAAAUUCUGACCUGUAUCAAGCGUGAAUAUUGUGGCCAUUUUGGCCCCAACUUUUCAGUGUUGGACAUCUGCGGUCGUAUCCAGCAGUGCUCAGCGAAGCAAAUUUAUUAGUUGUAUGUUGUGAUACAUUUAUCAACAAUCAAGACCAAUCUACUUUUUAGUGGAAAUAGUUAGAAACCCACCUAAAUGUAAAUAAUAUUUGUAGACCAAAAACAAACCAUGACUUAAAAAACUAAAUAAGUGCUAAAAUAGUGUUAUGAUUCUUACAAACUUAAAGGUUUUCUAUAGAACCUGAAUAGACUCAUAUCUUAACCAAUACAUGUUUAUUUAAACCUUUUUAAACUGUUAAAAAGUGAUAUCAAUAAGUAGAUUUUAUAGUUAUUUUUUCAAUUGUGUUGAUGAUCUCAAGCCUUGUAUAUAUAUUUAACUUCUCCAAGGAUAAGCCAGUAUACACUAUAGUAUAAUAAUGAUUCUACAUCUCUACCAGUGUUCUCCUGUCAUCCUGGUAAACAGGAAAUUGUGAAGUACCUUCUUGUUUCUAGAACUUAUAGCAUCACAUCCAUAUUAUUAUCUAUAAUAAACUAAUUUCAGAUAGCAUCACAUCCUAGCAAUAUAGCAUCACAUUAGCAUGAUGCUAAAACACCAUUGGGAGAAUACUGAGUGUAACACUGACAUGUAAACUGGAUAAGAUGAACAGUAAUAAAAUUACAUGUAUGUUUCAUAAAAAUCUGUUCUUUUGAUUGGCUGAUCAAUAAUAUUUGUGAGGCAUUCCAUAAUCAAAUUGUAGUUUUUAUAAAAUGCAAAAUUCAUGACUGCAAAUGCCUCUUAUGACAACAACACAAUUCAUAGGAAAACAAAAGGAAAGCUUUAUAUAUAACUUGUUGUAGCAUAAAAAUGUAAUAAGAAUUGAAAGCUUUUUGUAAUUUUAUAGUGUUGUAAAAGGGUUGAUUCUGCACACACUUUUAGCGAUAAGCCAUUUCAGUUCUUCAUACUAAAUGUACUUUGGUCAAUGCUUUAACACUCCUAUAAAAUUACAAAAGAAUUACUCAAUUGUUAAAUAAGUUUUACUUCCAAGUUUUAUAGACUGUUUGUCUCAUUUUUGAGGAUUUUAAGCUAUGGCUGUGUGUUAUUUGUCUCAUUCUUGAGGACUAUAAGUUAUGACUGUGAUAUAUUUAUCUUGCCUUUUGUAUUAUAUAUAUGUUGCAAUAUGUAGAUCAUAAUAGAUAAUAUCUGUAGAACAUGAUGUGAUCAAAGUUUUAUUAUUCUUCAUUUAAAAGUUGAUAUGUAUGUCACAGUAAUCAUUUUGUAUAAUUGAUAAAAAGCAACAUUGUAACAAAAAUAGCAACACACAUGUCUCUUGUUAGGUUCAUCAAAUGUUAGUAGAUUUUGUAAAUUAUUGUUUAAUUUAUUUAAGAGAGCAUUCCAUUAAUUUAAGUAUAUUUUAUAUGACCAAUAUGUUUGUGCAUGUACCUUUCAGGUAUUUUAAGUCAAUGUAAAUAAGAAAAUAGAAUUAUGAAAGAAUUUGCUUAAUUUGGCAAAUGAAUGCAUUCUUGAAUUGAACAUUUUGUUAUAUCAAUAAAACCGGUUAAGAAACAUGUACAGUUGUAAGAAUGAGAAAGAUUUUUAAAAUUUCAAUCAGAAAUUUUGUUUGAAAAGAUAUACAGCUGUAAUCUAGUAUCCCACCAUCUUUGUUGUCAUUUUCCUCACAUUAACAUAUUACUCACAAUACAUUCACAAAUCAUGGGUAUCAUCAGUUCUAAAGACAGGGGAUAGUCAAUACAAAUUCAUUUGAGAAAGAGAUUCAACAAGUGUAACAUAUGGCAUACUUUAUUUCUCCACUUAUGACAAUUGAUAUUUUAUAUGCUAGAUAAGUCUCAUGUUAUAGAAAUUUGUCUGUCUGUCUGUCUGUAUGUGGGGGAAAAAAAAAGUUAUCACACUUGAUACUGUGGUAGAACUAAGUAUGUAAGUGAUUCAACAUUGACAGAUCCAUCACCAAAUCUAUCCGUCAAUGUUUUUAAUGUUUGUUUAAGAUUUUUAAAAGAUCACUGAAGAGAGAUACUGGUAAAAGCUUUUGUAUUUGAGAUACUGGUAUUUUUAGUGUGUGUGUAUGUGAUAUUAAAUUAACUGUUAUUUGUUUUAUGAAGACAUUAUUAUGAUACUGUCUGUUAUUUAAGCAUUUGUUAUCUUGUCAUAAUGUGCAAUAAAUGACUUUGAAAUGGU